GGGUGCCCUAAGGGAGAGGUCCUUUCAAUGUCCAUUUGUGCUCCUAGGGAGAGGUCCUUUCAAUAGAUCGAAUCAUCAGCUGGGUCGGAGUAGGUCAAAGUACGUCCUUGGAGACGAAAGCCAAAAUCCACUGUUCGGAUCGCCAAUUGGGUCAGAGUAGAUUAGAGUAUGUCUUUGAAGAUGGAAGCCAAAAUCCACUG
This 200-nucleotide long non-coding RNA is filed under the name Elaeis guineensis (African oil palm). RNAcentral describes it as "long non-coding RNA (EGUI_LNC023246)". Lineage: Eukaryota; Viridiplantae; Streptophyta; Magnoliopsida; Arecales; Arecaceae. The record is from RNAcentral.